CAUGCAAGUCGAACGAUGAACCACUUCGGUGGGGAUUAGUGGCGAACGGGUGAGUAACACGUGGGCAAUCUGCCCUUCACUCUGGGACAAGCCCUGGAAACGGGGUCUAAUACCGGAUAUCACUUCCACUCGCAUGGGUGGGGGUUGAAAGCUCCGGCGGUGAAGGAUGAGCCCGCGGCCUAUCAGCUUGUUGGUGAGGUAAUGGCUCACCAAGGCGACGACGGGUAGCCGGCCUGAGAGGGCGACCGGCCACACUGGGACUGAGACACGGCCCAGACUCCUACGGGAGGCAGCAGUGGGGAAUAUUGCACAAUGGGCGAAAGCCUGAUGCAGCGACGCCGCGUGAGGGAUGACGGCCUUCGGGUUGUAAACCUCUUUCAGCAGGGAAGAAGCGAAAGUGACGGUACCUGCAGAAGAAGCGCCGGCUAACUACGUGCCAGCAGCCGCGGUAAUACGUAGGGCGCAAGCGUUGUCCGGAAUUAUUGGGCGUAAAGAGCUCGUAGGCGGCUUGUCACGUCGGGUGUGAAAGCCCGGGGCUUAACCCCGGGUCUGCAUUCGAUACGGGCUAGCUAGAGUGUGGUAGGGGAGAUCGGAAUUCCUGGUGUAGCGGUGAAAUGCGCAGAUAUCAGGAGGAACACCGGUGGCGAAGGCGGAUCUCUGGGCCAUUACUGACGCUGAGGAGCGAAAGCGUGGGGAGCGAACAGGAUU
This 708-nucleotide ribosomal RNA is filed under the name Streptomyces sp. RNAcentral's name for it is "bacterial SSU rRNA". It matches the Rfam family "Bacterial small subunit ribosomal RNA", at positions 54 to 779 of the family's 1533-position model. The record is from RNAcentral. Lineage: Bacteria; Bacillati; Actinomycetota; Actinomycetes; Kitasatosporales; Streptomycetaceae.